GAUGAACGCUGGCGGCGUGCCUAAUACAUGCAAGUCGAGCGAACAGACGAGGAGCUUGCUCCUCUGACGUUAGCGGCGGACGGGUGAGUAACACGUGGAUAACCUACCUAUAAGACUGGGAUAACUUCGGGAAACCGGAGCUAAUACCGGAUAAUAUGUUGAAUCGCAUGGUUCAACAGUGAAAGACGGUCUUGCUGUCACUUAUAGAUGGAUCCGCGCCGCAUUAGCUAGUUGGUAAGGUAACGGCUUACCAAGGCAACGAUGCGUAGCCGACCUGAGAGGGUGAUCGGCCACACUGGAACUGAGACACGGUCCAGACUCCUACGGGAGGCAGCAGUAGGGAAUCUUCCGCAAUGGGCGAAAGCCUGACGGAGCAACGCCGCGUGAGUGAAGAAGGUCUUCGGAUCGUAAAACUCUGUUAUUAGGGAAGAACAAAUGUGUAAGUAACUAUGCACGUCUUGACGGCACCUAAUCAGAAAGCCACGGCUAACUACGUG
This 497-nucleotide ribosomal RNA is filed under the name uncultured bacterium. RNAcentral describes it as "partial 16S ribosomal RNA". It matches the Rfam family "Bacterial small subunit ribosomal RNA", at positions 28 to 507 of the family's 1533-position model. The record is from RNAcentral.